This 491-nucleotide ribosomal RNA is filed under the name uncultured bacterium. RNAcentral describes it as "partial 16S ribosomal RNA". It matches the Rfam family "Bacterial small subunit ribosomal RNA", at positions 29 to 506 of the family's 1533-position model. The record is from RNAcentral.
AGUGAACGCUGGCGGUAGGCCUAACACAUGCAAGUCGAACGGCAGCACAGUAAGAGCUUGCUCUUACGGGUGGCGAGUGGCGGACGGGUGAGGAAUACAUCGGAAUCUACUUUUUCGUGGGGGAUAACGUAGGGAAACUUACGCUAAUACCGCAUACGACCUACGGGUGAAAGCAGGGGAUCUUCGGACCUUGCGCGAUUGAAUGAGCCGAUGUCGGAUUAGCUAGUUGGCGGGGUAAAGGCCCACCAAGGCGACGAUCCGUAGCUGGUCUGAGAGGAUGAUCAGCAAAACUGGAACUGAGAAACGGUCCAGAAUCCUACGGGAGGCAGCAGUGGGGAAUAUUGGACAAUGGGCGAAAGCCUGAUCCAGCCAUACCGCGUGGGUGAAGAAGGCCUUCGGGUUGUAAAGCCCUUUUGUUGGGAAAGAAAAGCAGCAGGUUAAUACCCCGCUGUUCUGACGGUACCAAAAGAAUAAGCACCGGCUAACUUCGU